UAACGGAGCGAAAGCGACGUUCAACCUCAAAAGAAGCAGAGGGGGCUUAGUGGUGGGGUGACUGCGUACCUUUUGUAUAAUGGGUCAGCGACUUAUAUUCUGUAGCAAGGUUAACCGAAUAGGGGAGCCGGAGGGAAACCGAGUCUUAAUUGGGCGUUAAGUUGCAGGGUAUAGACCCGAGCCCCGGUGAUCUAGCCAUGGGCAGGUUGAAGGUUGGGUAACGCUGACUGGUGGCCCGCACCGACUUAUGUU
RNAcentral lists this ribosomal RNA (252 nucleotides) under Salmonella enterica subsp. enterica serovar Schwarzengrund. Its description in RNAcentral is "partial 23S ribosomal RNA". It matches the Rfam family "Bacterial large subunit ribosomal RNA", at positions 531 to 790 of the family's 2925-position model. Lineage: Bacteria; Pseudomonadati; Pseudomonadota; Gammaproteobacteria; Enterobacterales; Enterobacteriaceae. The record is from RNAcentral.